Trichonephila clavipes is the source of this 72-nucleotide non-coding RNA. NCBI's taxonomy places the organism in Eukaryota, Metazoa, Arthropoda, Arachnida, Araneae, Nephilidae. The record is from the annotation of a GenBank genome assembly.
GUUCCUGUAGCGUAAUGGAUUGCGCGUUGGAUGUCUAUUCCAAAGGUCGUGGGUUCGAUCCCACCUGAGAUG